Molecule: RNA transcript, 3480 nt
Organism: Schistocerca serialis cubense
Lineage: Eukaryota; Metazoa; Arthropoda; Insecta; Orthoptera; Acrididae
Exons: 7
Source: RefSeq, a predicted model, not a curated record
GUCGCGACACUUCGCCUCGAUUUUGUUGCCAGCAGCGCCCCAAGAGGCUGGUAGGUUACACUGUGAAUUCGGCGCGAUCGUGAAAGAGAAUAGUGGUUGUUUAUUUUGAUUUAUACAAUGGCUUUUACUGGCGGGAGCGUUUGUAGCGCAAUACAUUGCACCAACAACAGGAAGAAGACACCACAGCUGUCUUUUUUUAGGUUUCCUAAGGAUCCUGAGAGGAGCAGAAAAUGGCUUGUUAAUAGCAGGCGAGAAGACCUCAUUAAGAAAGAACCAGUGUACCUGUAUAAUAAUAUUAGGUUUUGUUCGCUACAUUUCGAACAAAACCUGUUCAUGAACGCAGACAACAACAAACUCGUGUGGAAUGCAGUACCCACACUGUUUGACAUUCCAAAUAAGCCACCUCAGCUGACGAUGAAGAGGAAACUGCCACAAAGAUUCGACAGUCAAUCUAAAGCAGUAAAACAGUCCUAUGACACAGAAGCAGCCGGUUCAACUCUGCAUGUAUCAGUGCCAGAUUCGUGUGAAUUGUCAACACAGACUUGCUUUGACGAUGAAGUGGUUAGAUUAAGUGCAGCUGUUCGUGUCUUACAAAAGCGUGUGAAGUGUCAGAAUGUGCAAAUCGCUAGACUUCGAGCGAAACUAUUACGGGACAAGGAAAGUGCCUACAGACAGCGACAGAAACUGUAUCAGAAGGAGCAAGUGAACAAGGACAAACGAAUGUUAAAGACCAUAGGAUCCCCAUAUUUAAAAAAAGUGCCCUUGACUUGUUGUUAAGCCAGAUUAGCAUGCCAUUGAAAGAGAAACGUGCUGCAAGAUGGAAAGACGAAAAUAAGCUGUUUGCUCUAAAUUUAUUAUAUUACAGCACUCAGGCAUACAGGUUUUUGUCAGAAUGUUUUAUGCUUCCAUCAGUGCGUAGGGCUACAUUACAAAGGUAUGUGGAAGGCAUACAAAUAAAAUGUGGGAUAAGUGACAAUAUAUUCCAUCUUUUAAAGCAAAAGGUGCAACAUUUUUCUUAUAAUGAUAAACUUGUGAACAUGUCAUUGGAUGAAAUGUCUCUAAUGGCAAAUUUGACAUAUGAGGCACAGCUAAAAUUGCGAACAGUGUGUUGGUGAUAAUGAUUAGUGGCAUUUUUUCUUGUUUCAAACAACCAUUGCUGUACUGUUUUUGUAAAGGAACAGUGGGAGCUAUGCAUUCGACUGCUAUAUUUUAUGAAGUAGUCAAGAGACUUAAGGAAAUUGGCUUGGUUGUAAAGACCUGUGUGACUGAUCAGGGUUCAAAUUUUGUGGACUGGAGAAAGAGACGGAAUUACACAAGUCAAUCCAAGUUUGGUAUAUGAGGAGCAGAAGAUCUAUUUCUUCUAUGAUACCCCACAUUUGUUUAAGAACAUCAGAAACAACCUAUUUAGGUAUGACAUAAUUCAUACAUCAAAUGAUGGUUUGGUUGGUACUGCUUCUUGGAAGGACAUUUCUCAGCUCUAUUCAAAUGACUUGCACAGGAAAUACAAGUUAGCGCCGAAGCUGACUAAAAAAGCUGUCGAACUGCCAGCUUUUUCAAAAAUGAAAGUGGGUAUUGCAGUUUGUGUGUUAAGCCACACAGUGGCAGCUGGUAUUGACACACUUGUAUUUUGUGGUAGUAUGCCAUUAUCUGCAACUGGCACUUCAGACUUUUGUCAGAAAGUUAAUGACAUUUUUGAUUUCUUUAAUACAUACAGUGUGAAAGGGCCUGUGCAUCUAAGGAACUGUAUUAGGAGUGAUUCAGAGCAUCUGGAUGUUCUACAUGUGAUGAAGCCAUGGAUUCACUCUUGGAAAUUUGUAGGCUCUGAUGGAAAAGAUUACUUCCUGAGGAUAAAAUGUGUAAAGGGGCUUCUAAGCAAUAUAUGUGCUUUGGAAAUGCUUGCUGCCGAGGUACUGACUGGAACAAAAUUGUACUUAUUCUCACGUAAAAUUAACCAAGACACAUUGGAAAACUUUUUUUCAACUAUGAGGCAGAGAGGUGGUUUUUGCAGCAACCCAUCUCCAAGGCAGUUUUGUGCUGCAUUUAACAACUGUACACUAAGCAAACUGAUAAAUUCUUCUAAUGUGGGAAGCAGUAAUUGUGAAGGAAUUGACUGGGAUCAGGCAAUACUGGACAUGAAAUCUGCUCAAACAUUAAAGGUCUCACAGUUGUUAUGCAGUAGUGAUACAAGUUCUGCAACAAAGCUACCAAAUGUGGAAGUUCCAGCAGACCUUGGAGAACAAUACAGUAUGAGAUAUGUGUUUGGUUACAUAUUGAAGAAACUUUUUUCUUUACAUAAUUGUGUCAAGUGCAGGAAUCUACUUGUAGACAACAGCCAGGACUUAGAUGCAAAUGACAAAUUUUAUUGCCAUUUCAAAAGUUACGAAGACAAUUUUGAAGCUUGGUUAUUUGCAGUGAAAAUAUUUGUUUAUUUUUGAGGGAUUGUGAAAAUCAGAUGGCUUCAGUUUUUGAUGAACAUUCUCACAAGAAAAACUGUGGUGAAUUAUAUGUAAACUUGUUGAUGGCUGUCCCAAGUUUUCCCCCUGGAUGUUGUGAAGAAACUAAGCUGCUGUUAAUCAAGAUAUUUGUUAAAGUGAGACUCGUUUACCGGCUCAAAUGUUGGAAUCAAGACUUAGUUUCUAACAACAAGAAAGCAAAUAAGAAACUGAAGAAGUUGGCUCAUUUGGGCUGCUGAUUUCUUUGGACACUAAUGACAGCAGCAGAGAAGCUUGCCGCUGUUCCUGAUGUGGAUAUCGACCCAGAGGGAACAUUUAAGUAUGUUCUAAUACAUGUCUUUGGUCCAGAGGGUCCUGAUGGCAAAGAACCGAGCAAAUUAGUGACAACGGGUGCAUGAAGUUGAAAGAUUCGCUCUUCAAGUUACCAAAGAAGCAAGAAGUGCUAAAAGGAAUGCCAAGAGGAAGCUUGAAGAUGAAGAAAGGCUGCAGGAUGUAGACUAUGCUUCAGGAAUGUUCUGAGGCACAGUUUAAUUGGACUCAUAUGUUCAUUCGCAAUUUCCCGCAAGUUGUUUUCUUCAGAAUUCAGGUGCGAGAAUACAAGUGAGUUGGCUUCCAUUCGGACGUCUACGAUGAGACGAUGGACAGGGUGAAAGGCCUCGGUGUUGAUACCGAGUGCACUGGUGGUGGCAGAAUACAGCACGACCCCAGUGCCAAGGUCAUCAAAGUGUACAGCUACUCACAGGGGUUUGGGAAGGCAGACCACAGCAAGACAGUAGAAAUUCUGAAGACUGCAUAUCCUGUUUACAACAUUACUUGGAGUGAUGAAGGAUACUGAUCUGCUCAGGUUGUAAUAUUUGACAUUGCAGCUUUUGAAAAUGGAGCUGGAUGUUGUGCCCUCUUUCCUAUUGGAGUGUUUCUCUGUGAUCAGAAUUGGAGGCAGACAAUUCACUUGAACGUCCAUUGCUGUUGGUGAUGUCUUUGAAUCAUGUUGUUUCUUUGUGAUUAAUAAAAAAGUUAUACAAUCCAA